CUGUAGGUGACUCAUCAGCUGUUUGUUAUUAGGCAUACAUUGUAUAUUAAUUACCCUCAGUUUGAAGACCUAGUGUGCAGUUGUGAGUCAAGCUGAUGCUUUGAAAUGAGGGUGUUUAGCAGGGAAAAUGGGUGUGCGGUGAUGUGGUGAGAUGACAAAAGGCUUUGAUUCUUCCAUGGCUCGGGGAAUAGCUGCAGCACAGUAUGUUGAACUCACGGGGAAAAAAAAGUAUCCCGAGAAUCCAAUAAGAAUAUUCAACUAACUGCUUUUAUAGACAGGCCUGACUCAGAAUGAAUGUUCAAGCCUUAAAAGAGUGGGUUGAGCAGCGCUAUCGGAAAGAUUCUUUUCAUGUGAAUCACAAUUGAAUAAUUUGAAUAACUGACUCAAAAUUUGCUGCCUGUACAAGCAGGAAGGCAGGACGUGCCACUGCCUGAAUCUCCCUCUGUGGGAUGCAUCUUCCCAUCUCCUCUUUCCACCCUCCAAGCAUUUUACUUCCUUCCUACGUGGAAGACCACAUGAAAGGUUCAGCAGUUUGGAAGAUGAAUGAUACUGGAAGAUGCUCACUAGGAGAUGCUCUUCUCUCAACCAUCUCUUCCUUUGCUCACCCUGGACCACAGACAGUGGGUUUCUCUAAAAGCAAUCUUCCCAGCAGCUGGACAUGCCAACCCAUGCUUCACAGGCUCACGUGGAAGACAGAUCCUGCCUUCCCAAGGUUUGGCUGCUUGCUCUAAGAACCAAUCCUUGCAGAGAAUGCUGGGCACCCUCAGCCUCCUCCCAUCCUAUGGCACUUUAAAAACAAAACCCAAAAACAUGAUAUGUGUUUCUAAAAAAAUGAGGUAGAAUCAGUUUUGUGCCAUGAAGAGGAGGCUGGCAGAAGGAAGCAAGCAAGUACACAAAGCAAGCUCAGAUGGUUUCAGGUUCAACUUCAGCUUUGAAAUUUAUGGCUAUAGACCUCAUAAAGAUCCGUGUGACCAUCAUUCUGAAAACUUCUUGUUCAGUUCUGAUUUAUAGCUUGUGUAAAUCCAAGCAAAACAGUGCAGCAAAAGAAAUUCGUGGGAUAAUUUACAGCUUCAGUUUAGAUUAGGCUUUUAGUAGUUAUUUACCUUCAUACUUUAGAUAAAGAUUUGUGAGUAGCCAAUUACCCAAAGCAGCAUGAGCAGCUUUGACAGCUGACUCCAAUGCAGGAGAUACCCUUAGAAAGUGCUGCUUUAUAUCCUAAUAGAAAAUGCUACAGUUAAAAACAGAAACCGGAGUCUAUACCCUGAAUGUUAAAAUACUGGGGGGAAGAACAUCAUAAUCACUCACAUGGAACAAAGUGUUUGAGGAUAAAAGCUCCUGAAAAGGAGAUGGAGAGAUCAUUACUGCACGUUUAUAUAAAGCCAGGGAUGCUCUUUUAGGUGUUCUUUGAAUUUUAUUUUUUUAGCUGUACCAAUUUAUACCUGAAAAAAACAUCCCUAAAGAGUUCAUUAAACCUUUGUCUCAGUACUGCUUUGCUUUGGGACUUGUUUGUUGAUGUGAAAGACUGACUAUUUUCUUCAUGCAAAAUGGUACCUGGGAUUUUAAAACUGGGUGUGUCGUGUUGAUGUUACCUUCACUCAUUCUCCAUGUCUGCUUACAGCCUGGGCUCCUGAGCAGGGCUUUGCUCCCUGUUGCAAGGGCCUUUUGUUGCCUUUGUUAAGUCACCGUAAAGUCAGAUGAAUCAUUUACAUUGAGUUUUGAUUGAUUUCAUGUCUUUUUUUUUUUUGGUUUGAAAGGGAGUGAGGAACCAACUGCAGUUCCUCGUUAGAAUUCAUUUCUUCUUAAUUCCUGAAACUUCUUUGAAAGCAGUUCAGACUCAGAAUGCUAGAUCUCAAACACAAGCCGUGUUGAUCAGAUGCCUCAGUCACAAGCUAUGUAUCCUCCUGGGUGAGCAUAAUUUUGCAAUUGCCUUGUGGCUUCUGCCCAAACAGGGAUGAACUAGGAAGCUACUGUCUAAAACAGCAGUACUCAAAUAUUACUUUUAGGUAAAAUGGAAAAAGGCUUGGCAUCACUAUAUGACAGACUUCACAAACUGAACAGAAAAGGGGCACAAGACCCUACUCUUAGAAAGACAUGAAUUUCCUAGGUACAAGUCAUCACGUUCCUCUAGCUCCUCUACCUCUCCAUUUGGACUGAUGCCCAACACGUUGCUGCCACAAAGAGCCAUCUCAGCCUGGAGCAGUUAAAGAAAAUAAAAGGUUCAAAGUCUUUUGAGAUUCA
Coturnix japonica (Japanese quail) is the source of this 2238-nucleotide long non-coding RNA. NCBI's taxonomy places the organism in Eukaryota, Metazoa, Chordata, Aves, Galliformes, Phasianidae. The record is from Ensembl.